This is a long non-coding RNA of Stylophora pistillata, 921 nucleotides long. The record is from RefSeq and is a predicted model, not a curated record. Lineage: Eukaryota; Metazoa; Cnidaria; Anthozoa; Scleractinia; Pocilloporidae.
UUGUAUUCUUUCAAAGUUACAAACCAUCAAAAAGAUGAAAACCGGUACGAGCCACCUUAAGAUUGAAUAGCAAAUCAUUCCCAUAUUUCAAAUAAUUAAAUUUUGCAUACAUUGUAUUUUAUUUUGUACGAUUAAGACUUAAAACUGAAUUGAAGUAUAUGACUGAGGAAUUACCUAAUGCUGUUGUUAUAAAUUAUGAGGGUAUAAUUUUUAGUCAAUUUUAAAAUUUACCACUACUGAAUAUUCAAUCAAAAUGUCCUUCAACUUACAAACCAAUAAGCUUAAGUUCAGUCCUCCCACAUUGCUGUUUUGUUUAUUUUUGGGUUAAUGGACUCUGAUGAUGAGCUGUUUCAGAGAAUGAAAGAGGCUGGCUCAAAUAAGUCAUUCAAGAGAGACAAGGUAACUGGACUGGACUCGUUGAAGUGCACAGUAGAAAAACCGACUCAUGUUAACAUCAAUGGAGCGCCUUGAACGAUCCUUUAAAAUGUUCACACCCUAGUGUGACAAUCCUGAUUCAUGACAAGUAUUCAGAGUAGCAAGUUUAUUUUUGUUACACCAGACAGCUGCUGUUUGUCAUGACAACGGUCCUAAUACCAUCAGGAUUUUCUUGUUUAGUAUAGAAAUAUUCUUCAACGAUCUAAAAUUCCGUAAGUGAAGGAAUCUAGAUUUGCCACGUUUCUUUUGUCGUUGUUUGUUUAUUUGUCUGACUACUUGGUAUUUUCUAUCUUUAUGACCGGAUGUUACCAAACACGUCACAACCAACCACAUUCAAAACCAUAUAUUUAAAGAAACAAGAACACUUUGUUUAAUUUUUUAUAACUAGAAGAUGAAUUGUUCGUUCUAAUCUCGUAAAUUAUCAUGAUGUGUACGCGCCGUAAUGGGGUUCAAAGUGAACAUAUUAAAAAAAAUUGAACAGUUUCA